This 21-nucleotide non-coding RNA is filed under the name Caenorhabditis elegans. The record is from RNAcentral. Lineage: Eukaryota; Metazoa; Nematoda; Chromadorea; Rhabditida; Rhabditidae.
UUUCAUUAAAUUUUGUGAAGA